GAGUUUGAUCAUGGCUCAGAUUGAACGCUGGCGGCAUGCCUUACACAUGCAAGUCGAACGGCAGCACGGGAGCUUGCUCCUGGGUGGCGAGUGGCGAACGGGUGAGUAAUGCAUCGGAACGUAUCCUGGAGUGGGGGAUAACGUAGCGAAAGUUACGCUAAUACCGCAUAUUCUGUGAGCAGGAAAGCGGGGGACCUUCGGGCCUCGCGCUCUUGGAGCGGCCGAUGUCGGAUUAGCUAGUUGGUGAGGUAAAGGCUCACCAAGGCGACGAUCCGUAGCAAGUCUGAGAGGAUGAUCUGCCACACUGGAACUGAGACAGGUCCAGACUCCUACGGAGGCAGCAGUGGGGAAUCUUGGAC
This 359-nucleotide ribosomal RNA is filed under the name bacterium enrichment culture clone ALO1_GLFRUDD03G0OKL. RNAcentral describes it as "bacterial SSU rRNA". It matches the Rfam family "Bacterial small subunit ribosomal RNA", at positions 9 to 369 of the family's 1533-position model. The record is from RNAcentral.